This 730-nucleotide ribosomal RNA is filed under the name Lecanora barkmaniana. Its description in RNAcentral is "partial small subunit ribosomal RNA". It matches the Rfam family "Bacterial small subunit ribosomal RNA", at positions 473 to 1218 of the family's 1533-position model. Lineage: Eukaryota; Fungi; Ascomycota; Lecanoromycetes; Lecanorales; Lecanoraceae. The record is from RNAcentral.
CGUUUUCUGCCUAUUACUCUUGACCAAUAUUCCUCACUGCUAUCGCGGUAUAACGUAGAAGACUAGUGUUAUUCAUCUUUAAUAGGUUUAAAGGGUACCUAGACGGUAAAUCAAGCCUUAAACGGGACUAAUUUACUAGAGUUAUUUAUGAGGGGGCACUAAAGUACUGAUGGUGGAGAGAUGAAAUUCUUAGAUACCUUUUUUCGAAAGAAAAACAAUGGCACAGGUAUAGGCGAAAGCAUCCCCUUAUGUGAUAACUGACGUUGAGGGACGAAGGCUUUGAGUAGCGAACAGGAUUAGAUACCCUGAUAGUUGAAGCAGUAAAUGAUGAAUGUCAUAGAUUAGACGUUAGUUUAUUCUAUAAAUGAAAGUGUAAGCAUUCCACCUCAAGAGUAAUUUGGCAACAUUGGAACUGAAAUCAUUAGACCGUUUCUGAAACCAGUAGUGAAGUAUGUUGUUUAAUUUGAUAAUCCGCAAAAAACCUUACCACAAUUUGAAUAUUUAUAUUUUUUAUUUUCCAUAAACUUUUUUAUAAGAUAAAAAAGGGAGAAAAAAGAUGUUUUUACAAGCGUUGCACGGCUGUCUUCAGUUAAUGUCGUGAGAUUUUGGUUAGCUCCAUUAAAUUAACGUAAACCCUUGCUAUAUUUUUACAUAUAGUAGUUCUCCAUCAUAUUGGAUAAGAUAACAGGGACUAAGACAAGUCAUCAUGGCCUGAAUAUUGUGGGCUAUA